CUACGGGGUGCUGCAGUGGGGAAUAUUGGACAAUGGGGGAAAUCCUGAUCCAGCAAUGCCGCGUGUGUGAAGAAGGCCUGCGGGUUGUAAAGCACUUUCGGUUGGGAGGACUGCUUCUAGCACUAAUAUUGUUGGAAGUUGACGUUACCUUCAGAAGAAGCACCGGCUAACUCCGUGCCAGCAGCCGCGGAAAUACGGAGGGUGCAAGCGUGAAUCGGAAUUACUGGGCGUAAGGCGCGCGUAGGCGGCUAGAUCAGUCGGGUGUGAAAGCCCCGGGCUUAACCUGGGAACUGCAUCCGAUACUGUCUAGCUUGAGUACAGGAGAGGAGAGUGGAAUUCCACAUGUAGCGGUGAAAUGCGUAGAUAUGUGGAGGAACACCAAUGGCGAAGGCAGCUCUCUGGCCUGAUACUGACGCUGAGGUGCGAAAGCGUGGGGAGCAAACAGGAUUAGAUACCCGGGUAGUC
Molecule: ribosomal RNA, 465 nt
Filed under: uncultured bacterium
Lineage: Bacteria
Description: partial 16S ribosomal RNA
Rfam family: Bacterial small subunit ribosomal RNA
Source: RNAcentral